UCUCUCCGGAGUGGUGUGUCAUCCUCCUGCGCACCUGAGAUCAAUCUGCUCGUCAGGCAAGGUGUACAAGAGGAGCUGACUGCCAGUACUUCGAUGCCUGAGUGUUAGCCAGUAACGGUCCUCCUGGAUUUCCUGGUUGGCAGUCACGCCGUCCCUCCGUCACCACUGCAUGAGCCUACCUGUCCGUCCUCUGUUCCACUUCCUCGUUGCCUUCUGGACUUCUGUGGCUGAGCUCUGGACUAUCUGGAUCCACAAAGUGACCAAGUCCCCGGACACUUCAGCAAACCCCUCCUAAACUCCGAACCUCCGUCUAACAAUGAGCCGAGCGUUUCUGUGAGCCCGCUUCUCCCCUGGACGAGACCCGUCGCUUCACUAUUUUUUCCAGUUUGUGUUCGCAAUAAACUCACUUAAUUAUAUACGUGUCUCCUGUGUUGUGUUCUGCAUGUGGGCUAGAUAUAUUGAACCCAUCAUGACAGAACACUCAGGCCAGCAAACAAGCCCAGCAGAUGCAAUCAGGAGAACAUUAACUGAACAACACACCCUGCUACAGUCGCACGAAACCGCCUUAAGAGAACUUGGCACACGACAAGCCGAGACCAACCGACAGCUAAUAGAAAUUGCUAAUUUUCUAAAAUGCUCUGUUCCUCCGACUCCUUCCCCAGA
This is a long non-coding RNA of Xiphophorus maculatus (southern platyfish), 663 nucleotides long. RefSeq lists it as uncharacterized. The transcript is spliced from 3 exons. NCBI's taxonomy places the organism in Eukaryota, Metazoa, Chordata, Actinopteri, Cyprinodontiformes, Poeciliidae. The record is from RefSeq and is a predicted model, not a curated record.